UGUUCCUACGGGGGGCAGCAGUGGGGAAUAUUGCACAAUGGGGGAAACCCUGAUGCAGCGACGCCGCGUGAGCGAAGAAGUAUUUCGGUAUGUAAAGCUCUAUCAGCAGGGAAGAAAAUGACGGUACCUGAGUAAGAAGCUCCGGCUAAAUACGUGCCAGCAGCCGCGGUAAUACGUAUGGAGCAAGCGUUAUCCGGAUUUACUGGGCGUAAAGGGCGUGUAGGCGGGCCUGCAAGUCAGAAGUGAAAUCUGGGGGCUUAACCCCCAAACUGCUUUUGAAACUGUGGGUCUUGAGUGAUGGAGAG
Molecule: ribosomal RNA, 305 nt
Filed under: uncultured bacterium
Lineage: Bacteria
Description: bacterial SSU rRNA
Rfam family: Bacterial small subunit ribosomal RNA
Source: RNAcentral